Molecule: non-coding RNA, 45 nt
Filed under: Schistosoma margrebowiei
Lineage: Eukaryota; Metazoa; Platyhelminthes; Trematoda; Strigeidida; Schistosomatidae
Source: RNAcentral
AUUCAGCUGACGUGUCCCAGAAAGGACGAAACGCGCGUUCGGAUU